RNAcentral lists this ribosomal RNA (254 nucleotides) under uncultured bacterium. RNAcentral's name for it is "partial 16S ribosomal RNA". It matches the Rfam family "Bacterial small subunit ribosomal RNA", at positions 524 to 776 of the family's 1533-position model. The record is from RNAcentral.
UACGUAGGGGGCUAGCGUUGUCCGGAUUUAUUGGGCGUAAAGAGCUCGUAGGCGGUUCGGUAAGUCGGAUGUGAAAUCUCCAGGCUCAACCUGGAGGGGUCAUUCGAUACUGCCGUGACUAGAGUUCGGUAGAGGAGUGUGGAAUUCCUGGUGGAGCGGUGAAAUGCGCAGAUAUCAGGAGGAACACCGGUGGCGAAGGCGGAUCUCUGGGCCUGAUCUGACGCUGAGGCGCGAAAGCUAGGGGAGCGAACAGG